RNAcentral lists this ribosomal RNA (460 nucleotides) under uncultured bacterium. RNAcentral describes it as "partial 16S ribosomal RNA". It matches the Rfam family "Bacterial small subunit ribosomal RNA", at positions 338 to 795 of the family's 1533-position model. The record is from RNAcentral.
CCUACGGGAGGCAGCAGUGAGGAAUAUUGGUCAAUGGGCGCGAGCCUGAACCAGCCAAGUAGCGUGAAGGUUGACUGCCCUACGGGUUGUAAACUUCUUUUAUAAAGGAAUAUAGUGAUGCCCGUGUGCCUUUUUGUAAUUACUUUAUGAAUAGGGAUCGGCUAAUUCCUUGCCAGCAGCCGCGGUAAUACGGAGGAUCCGACAGUUAUCCGGAUUUAUUGGUUUUAAGGGGAGUGUAGAUGGGUUGUUAGUUAGGUGGUGAAGGUUUGCGGUUCACCCGUAAAAUUGCAAUUGAUACUGGCAUGCUUGAGUACAGUUGAGGGAGGCGGAAUUCGUGGUGUAGCGGUGAAAUGCUUAGAUAUCACGAAGAACUCCGAUUGCGAAGGCAGCUUACUAAUCUGCCACUGACAUUGAUGCUCGAAAGCGUGGGUAUCAAACAGGAUUAGAUACCCGAGUAGUC